GCUCCUCCAGGGACGGGUAGUGUGACGUUUGGGGUCAGAACGCACCACUUUCGGGCACCCCCACUUAAGAUUGCUCAACUGCUUUGAGCUCAGAAAGCAAGGUGUAAAGGUGGGGGAAAAGCACUUUCGUCUCAGAAUUACAGCUACUGGUAUGGAAAAGCUGGGGCCCUUCGCUGGUGUGAGUCCUAAGGAUGUCUAAAUGGAACGUGCAUCUGCUACAGGCUCGCACUUUCCUUUAUUGCGCUUCCCAGACUUCCUGCUGUUGUAAGCAACCACUACAGAUUUCUCAGAAGUACUGUGGCAAAUAAAAAUGAUUGAGAAUCAUUAUACAUUUUCUAUUCUACUAGAGAGACAGUUUAAAAUAAAAUAGAAUGCUAAGACCACCAUGCAGUGGAAAAGCUCCAUCUACCAGAAGAUGAGAAGCCAUGUGGAGAACUAAGACUUCCCAGCCAAUAGCCAGCACCAACUGCCAGACACGUAAGUGAGGCCAUCUUGAACCCUCCAACCCUAGAUGUAUUCACGGUUCUCCAGAGAAACAGAACCAAUAAGAUGUGUGUGUGUGUGUGUGUGUGUGUUUAUAAAGAUAUUUAUUUUAAGGACUUGACUCACUUGAUUAUAGAGCUUCCAAGUCCAAAAUCUGCAGGGUGGGUUGGCAGGCUGGAGGCCAGGGAAAAGGUGAUGCUACAGUUCAAGUCUGAGAGCCAUCUACUGGCAAAAUUCCUUCUUGCUCAUGGAAGGUCAGUCUUUUGUUCUAUUCAGGCCUUCAGUUGAUUGGAUAAGGCCUACUCACAUUAUGGAGGGCAAUCUGCGUUAUUCAAAGUCCCCUGAUUUGUUACUCAGAGGUGAGAAAAAUCAUGGUGUACUAAAGUCACCACAAAAACUUCUGUAGAUCAUAUGGAGAAGCAGGAGAGAUGAAGCUGGAGAGCAAAGCAGCAAAUCAGCAAUUAAAAAAGAUGUUUGGAGUUGUUGAGUUUGGAGAUGAAAAGUGACAAGAUGAAUUCUGGAUUUUAGACAAAGCAAUCCAACGUGUGGAUGGAGAGGGAUUUGAGAGGAGAAAUCAGCUGUUGUCAGUAAGAGUAUUUAAAUUAGGAUACUGGUAACGGGGAUGGAGAGACACACGAUUAUACAUGGGAAGUGAGAGCAGAAAGAAUUAGGAUUAUUUCUUGAUUUUUUUUUUUUUUUUUUUUUUUUGCUCAGGCAACUGAAUAGAUGAAGUCAUUAAUGGAAACCAGGAACACUGAAGAAACAGUGAACAAUUAAAGUACUUUGAGUUAUCAAA
Molecule: long non-coding RNA, 1279 nt
Organism: Homo sapiens (human)
Lineage: Eukaryota; Metazoa; Chordata; Mammalia; Primates; Hominidae
Exons: 4
Source: RefSeq, a predicted model, not a curated record